CAGUAGCCACGGUAAUACGUAGGUGGCAAGCGUUGUCCGGAAUUAUUGGGUGUAAAGGGCUCGCAGGCGGUUUCUUAAGUCUGAUGUGAAAGCCCCCGGCUCAACCGGGGAGGGUCAUUGGAAACUGGGAAACUUGAGUGCAGAAGAGGAGAGUGGAAUUCCACGUGUAGCGGUGAAAUGCGUAGAGAUGUGGAGGAACACCAGUGGCGAAGGCGACUCUCUGGUCUGUAACUGACGCUGGGGAGCGAAAGCGUGGGGAGCGAACAGGAUUAGAUACCCCAGUAGUCCCUGUCUCUUAUAC
This 301-nucleotide ribosomal RNA is filed under the name uncultured bacterium. RNAcentral's name for it is "partial 16S ribosomal RNA". It matches the Rfam family "Bacterial small subunit ribosomal RNA", at positions 509 to 807 of the family's 1533-position model. The record is from RNAcentral.